AUUGAACGCUGGCGGCAGGCCUAACACAUGCAAGUCGAGCGGAUGAAGGGAGCUUGCUCCUGGAUUCAGCGGCGGACGGGUGAGUAAUGCCUAGGAAUCUGCCUGGUAGUGGGGGAUAACGUCCGGAAACGGGCGCUAAUACCGCAUACGUCCUGAGGGAGAAAGUGGGGGAUCUUCGGGCCUCACGCUAUCAGAUGAGCCUAGGUCGGAUUAGCUAGUUGGUGGGGUAAAGGCCUACCAAGGCGACGAUCCGUAACUGGUCUGAGAGGAUGAUCAGUCACACUGGAACUGAGACACGGUCCAGACUCCUACGGGAGGCAGCAGUGGGGAAUAUUGGACAAUGGGCGAAAGCCUGAUCCAGCCAUGCCGCGUGUGUGAAGAAGGUCUUCGGAUUGUAAAGCACUUUAAGUUGGGAGGAAGGGCAGUAAGUUAAUACCUUGCUGUUUUGACGUUACCAACAGAAUAAGCACCGGCUAACCUCGUG
RNAcentral lists this ribosomal RNA (484 nucleotides) under uncultured bacterium. Its description in RNAcentral is "partial 16S ribosomal RNA". It matches the Rfam family "Bacterial small subunit ribosomal RNA", at positions 30 to 507 of the family's 1533-position model. The record is from RNAcentral.